GACGAACGCUGGCGGCGUGCUUAACACAUGCAAGUCGAACGGGCCUGUCUUCUUUUUUGGGGGUGGGUUGAGUGGCGAACGGGUGAGUAUCACGUGAGUAACCUGCCCUUCGGUCCUGGAUAACCGCUUGAAAGGGCGGCUAAUACGGGGUGGUCCGGUUGGUCCGCAUGGGCUGGUCGGGAUAGAUUCACUGUUUUUGGUGUUUCGGCGGGGGAUGGGCUCGCGGCCUAUCAGCUUGUUGGUGGGGUGAUGGCCUACCAAGGCGGUGACGGGUAGCCGGCCUGAGAGGGUGGGCGGCCACACGGGGACUGGGAUACGGCCCAGACUCCUGCGGGAGGCAGCAGUGGGGGGUAUUGCACAAUGGGCGGAAGCCUGAUGCAGCGACGUCGCGUGAGGGAUGGAGGCCUUCGGGUUGUGAACCUCUGUUUCCGGUGGUGAAGGCCCUGUCCGUGUGGUGGGGUUGACGGUAGCCGGGGAUGAAGCGCCGGCUAACUACGUG
RNAcentral lists this ribosomal RNA (499 nucleotides) under uncultured bacterium. RNAcentral's name for it is "partial 16S ribosomal RNA". It matches the Rfam family "Bacterial small subunit ribosomal RNA", at positions 28 to 507 of the family's 1533-position model. The record is from RNAcentral.